GAACGCUGGCGGCGUGCCUAAUACAUGCAAGUCGAGCGAACGGACGAGAAGCUUGCUUCUCUGAUGUUAGCGGCGGACGGGUGAGUAACACGUGGAUAACCUACCUAUAAGACUGGGAUAACUUCGGGAAACCGGAGCUAAUACCGGAUGAUAUUUUGAACCGCAUGGUUCAAAAGUGAAAGACGGUCUUGCUGUCACUUAUAGAUGGAUCCGCGCUGCAUUAGCUAGUUGGUAAGGUAACGGCUUACCAAGGCAACGAUGCAUAGCCGACCUGAGAGGGUGAUCGGCCACACUGGAACUGAGACACGGUCCAGACUCCUACGGGAGGCAGCAGUAGGGAAUCUUCCGCAAUGGGCGAAAGCCUGACGGAGCAACGCCGCGUGAGUGAUGAAGGUCUUCGGAUCGUAAAACUCUGUUAUUAGGGAAGAACAUAUGUGUAAGUAACUGUGCACAUCUUGACGGUACCUAAUCAGAAAGCCACGGCUAACUACGUG
Molecule: ribosomal RNA, 494 nt
Filed under: uncultured bacterium
Lineage: Bacteria
Description: partial 16S ribosomal RNA
Rfam family: Bacterial small subunit ribosomal RNA
Source: RNAcentral